GACGAACGCUGGCGGCGUGCCUAAUACAUGCAAGUCGAACGCUGAAGAGAGGAGCUUGCUCUUCUUGGAUGAGUUGCGAACGGGUGAGUAACGCGUAGGUAACCUGCCUUGUAGCGGGGGAUAACUAUUGGAAACGAUAGCUAAUACCGCAUAACAAUGGAUGACACAUGUCAUUUAUUUGAAAGGGGCAAUUGCUCCACUACAAGAUGGACCUGCGUUGUAUUAGCUAGUAGGUGAGGUAAUGGCUCACCUAGGCGACGAUACAUAGCCGACCUGAGAGGGUGAUCGGCCACACUGGGACUGAGACACGGCCCAGACUCCUACGGGAGGCAGCAGUAGGGAAUCUUCGGCAAUGGGGGCAACCCUGACCGAGCAACGCCGCGUGAGUGAAGAAGGUUUUCGGAUCGUAAAGCUCUGUUGUAAGUCAAGAACGGGUGUGAGAGUGGAAAGUUCACACUGUGACGGUAGCUUACCAGAAAGGGACGGCUAACUACGU
RNAcentral lists this ribosomal RNA (496 nucleotides) under uncultured bacterium. RNAcentral describes it as "partial 16S ribosomal RNA". It matches the Rfam family "Bacterial small subunit ribosomal RNA", at positions 28 to 506 of the family's 1533-position model. The record is from RNAcentral.